This 521-nucleotide ribosomal RNA is filed under the name uncultured Clostridia bacterium. Its description in RNAcentral is "bacterial SSU rRNA". It matches the Rfam family "Bacterial small subunit ribosomal RNA", at positions 359 to 899 of the family's 1533-position model. The record is from RNAcentral. Lineage: Bacteria; Bacillati; Bacillota; Clostridia.
GGGGGGAAAUGGGGGAAACCCUGAUGCAGCAACGCCGCGUGAAGGAUGAAGGUUUUCGGAUUGUAAACUUCUUUAGUCGGGGACGAAUAAAUGACGGUACCAGAAGAAUAAGCCACGGCUAACUACGUGCCAGCAGCCGCGGUAAUACGUAGGUGGCGAGCGUUGUCCGGAAUUACUGGGUGUAAAGGGCGUGUAGGCGGGAAUGUAAGUCAGAUGUGAAAUCCCAGGGCUUCACCCUGGAGCUGCAUCUGAAACUAUGUUUCUUGAGUGUCGGAGAGGAAAGCGAAUUCCUUGUGUAGCGGUGAAAUGCGUAGAUAUUAGGGAGAACACCAGUGGCGAACGCGGCUUUCUGGACGAUAACUGACGCUGAGGCGGAAAAGCGUGGGGAGCAAACGAGAUUAGAUACCCUGGUAGUCCACGCUGUAAACGAUGGAUACUAGGUGUAGGAGGUAUCGACCCCUUCUGUGCCGGAGUUAACACAAUAAGUAUCCCACCUGGGGAGUACGGCCGCAAGGUUGAAC